CGGGCUGGGGCGCAGUUUGGUAGCGAACUUGACUGGGGGUCAAGUGGUCGCAGGUUCAAAUCCUGUCAGCCCGA
RNAcentral lists this transfer RNA (74 nucleotides) under Mycobacterium tuberculosis variant bovis. RNAcentral describes it as "tRNA-Pro". It matches the Rfam family "tRNA". Rfam says of the family: Transfer RNA (tRNA) molecules are approximately 80 nucleotides in length. Lineage: Bacteria; Bacillati; Actinomycetota; Actinomycetes; Mycobacteriales; Mycobacteriaceae. The record is from RNAcentral.